GUCUGUUCACCGGGGGGCCGCUCGCGCGGCUGAGAUUGGGCUCACGCCCUGACCCGUAGAACCUGAUCCGGGUCAUGCCGGCGAAGGGAGGGAACGCGGACGACAG
Molecule: regulatory RNA element, 106 nt
Rfam family: TPP riboswitch aptamer (THI element)
About the family: Vitamin B(1) in its active form thiamin pyrophosphate (TPP) is an essential coenzyme that is synthesised by coupling of pyrimidine and thiazole moieties in bacteria. The previously detected thiamin-regulatory element, thi box was extended, resulting in a new, highly conserved RNA secondary structure, the THI element, which is widely distributed in eubacteria and also occurs in some archaea.
Source: Rfam